GGAGGCCCUUCUCCAGAGUAGACAGGAGGGAAUCGCCAGCAGCAGCAGCCCCGGCCUGAGGGUGAAGACAAAGGGGCAAGAGGGGCCUGUGAAGAGGCCCAGCAGGAGAGCCGUGCAGGGGACACGGAGCAGGAAUGCCAGGGGGGCUGCUGGGGCCCUCCAGGAAAGGCUGUCUAUGAGCCAUUAUUAAUCAGGCUUAUACUUCUAUGACUUCUUAAUAAUAACACUUUGUAUUUAUCCCCCAUUUAUGAUGUGCCCACCACUGUGCUGAGCAUCCUGUGCACUCUGCUUCAUGUAACCUCCACAAACACCCUAUGAGUGUGCGUCCGUUUGCAGGGAUGGGGCGGAAGGAAAGCGGGAGAAGCCGCGGUGCAGACGCGCCCGACGCGAGGCCGCGCACAGACAGCACUGCGGACUCCGCGCUCCCGCCCCUGGCUCCCAGCCUGGAAAACGCCGCUUCUCUGAAGCUUGCCUUCGAUGAAGCAGAGGGUCUCCAGCGAUGGCAUUUCCCGCAGUGUCACAGGAUAUGGGUAAGGUAUCUGGCUCAUAAGAGGUCUACGACAGAAAGUAAUCACCAUUAUUUGGCAAUUAAUCAGACCGUGCCCCAUCAUUUCCCACAUCGCAAUCAGGAG
RNAcentral lists this long non-coding RNA (632 nucleotides) under Equus caballus (horse). RNAcentral's name for it is "lncRNA (ENSECAG00000052979.1)". The record is from RNAcentral. Lineage: Eukaryota; Metazoa; Chordata; Mammalia; Perissodactyla; Equidae.